GAUGAACGCUGGCGGCGUGCCUAAUACAUGCAAGUCGAGCGAACAGAUAAGGUGCUUGUUCCUUUGGCGUUAGCGGCGGACGGGUGAGUAACACGUGGGUAACCUAUCUAUAAGACUGGGAUAACUCCGGGAAACCAGGGCUAAUACCGCAUAACAUGUUGAAACACAUGGUUCUAGAGUGAAAGGCGGCUUUGCUGUACCUUAUAGAUAGACCCGCGCCGAUUAGGCUAGUUGGUGAGGUAACGGCUAACCAAGGCAACGAACCGUAGCCGACGUGAAGGGGUGAUCGCCCACACUGGAACGGAGACAGGGCCAAGACUCCUAGGGGAGGCAGCGGAGGGGAAUCUUCCGCAAUGGGCGAAAGCCUGACGGAGCAACGCCGGGUGAGUGAUGAAGGUCUUCGGAUCGUAAAACUCGUUUAUAAGGGAAGAACAAAUGCGUAAGGAACUGUGCGCGUCUUGACGGUACCUAAUCAGAAAGCCACGGCUAACUACGUG
This 497-nucleotide ribosomal RNA is filed under the name uncultured bacterium. Its description in RNAcentral is "partial 16S ribosomal RNA". It matches the Rfam family "Bacterial small subunit ribosomal RNA", at positions 28 to 507 of the family's 1533-position model. The record is from RNAcentral.